GACGAACGCUGGCGGCGUGCUUAACACAUGCAAGUCGAGCGAGGCCCCUCCUUCGGGAGGGUGUCCUAGCGGCGAACGGGUGAGUAACACGUGGGCAACCUGCCCUCAGCUCUGGGAUAACUCCGGGAAACCGGGGCUAAUACCGGAUACGACCUCCACGGGCAUCUGCGGAGGUGGAAAGUUUUUCGGCUGAGGAUGGGCCCGCGGCCUAUCAGCUAGUUGGUGGGGUAGUGGCCCACCAAGGCGACGACGGGUAGCCGGCCUGAGAGGGCGACCGGCCAAACUGGGACUGAGACACGGCCCAGACUCCUACGGGAGGCAGCAGGGGGGAAUAUUGCGCAAUGGGCGAAAGCCUGACGCAGCGACGCCGCGUGAGGGACGAAGGCCUUCGGGUUGUAAACCUCUUUCAGCAGGGACGAAGCGAAAGUGACGGUACCUGCAGAAGAAGCACCGGCCAACUACGUG
Molecule: ribosomal RNA, 465 nt
Filed under: uncultured bacterium
Lineage: Bacteria
Description: partial 16S ribosomal RNA
Rfam family: Bacterial small subunit ribosomal RNA
Source: RNAcentral